This 287-nucleotide unclassified non-coding RNA is filed under the name uncultured Glomerales. Its description in RNAcentral is "sequence contains 5.8S rRNA gene, ITS2, 28S rRNA gene". The stretch from base 1 to 52 matches the Rfam family "5.8S ribosomal RNA", at positions 103 to 154 of the family's 154-position model. Lineage: Eukaryota; Fungi; Glomeromycota; Glomeromycetes; Glomerales; Glomeraceae. The record is from RNAcentral.
AACGCAAAUUGCACUUUCUGGUAUUCCGGAAAGUAUGCCUGUUUGAGGGUCAGUUAAAUAAAAAUCGGUGUUGUUGCUACCCGUAGUGGUGUUAAUGCAUCGGAAUUGAGUUGUCUUUACCUUUUUUGGUUAAAGUGACUUAAAAUUAUGUACGAUUUUUUGAACGUAUUUAAAUUAUUUACGUAUGUUCAUAAUAUCAAAUAUUAGGUGCGGUCAUCCUUAUGAUUCACAUCUAUAAUUUUUCAUUAUUUGACCUCAAAUCAGGUAAGAGUACCCGCUGAACUUAA